AUAAAGUGGCGCACGGGUGAGUAACACGUAAGUAAUCUACCUUCGAGUGGGGAAUAACGUCCGGAAACGGACGCUAAUACCGCAUAAUGCAGCGGCAUCGCAAGAUGACAGUUGUUAAAGGAGUAAUUCGCUUGAAGAGGAGCUUGCGGCAGAUUAGCUUGUUGGUAAGGUAACGGCUUACCAAGGCUACGAUCUGUAACCGGUCUAAGAGGACGGUCGGUCACACUGACACUGAAUAACGGGUCAGACUCCUACGGGAGGCAGCAGUCGGGAAUUUUGGGCAGUGGGGGAAACCCUGACCCAGCAACGCCGCGUGAAGGAUGAAGUAUUUCGGUAUGUAAACUUCGAAAGAAUAGGAAGAAUAAAUGACGGUACUAUUUAUAAGGUCCGGCUAACUACGUGCCAGCAGCCGCGGUAAUACGUAGGGACCAAGCGUUGUUCGGAUUUACUGGGCGUAAAGGGCGCGUAGGCGGCAUGACAAGUCACUUGUGAAAUCUCUGGGCUUAACCCAGAACGGCCAAGUGAUACUGUCGCGCUAGAGUGCAGAAGGGGCAAUCGGAAUUCUUGGUGUAGCGGUGAAAUGCGUAGAUAUCAAGAGGAACACCUGAGGUGAAGACGGGUUGCUGGGCUGACACUGACGCUGAGGCGCGAAAGCCAGGGGAGCAAACGGGAUUAGAUACCCCGGUAGUCCUGGCCCUAAACGAUGAAUACUUGGUGUCUGGAGU
RNAcentral lists this ribosomal RNA (725 nucleotides) under uncultured bacterium. RNAcentral describes it as "bacterial SSU rRNA". It matches the Rfam family "Bacterial small subunit ribosomal RNA", at positions 90 to 830 of the family's 1533-position model. The record is from RNAcentral.